Molecule: unclassified non-coding RNA, 206 nt
Filed under: Agaricus fissuratus
Lineage: Eukaryota; Fungi; Basidiomycota; Agaricomycetes; Agaricales; Agaricaceae
Description: partial internal transcribed spacer 2
Source: RNAcentral
AAUUCUCAACUCUCUGAUACUGUUUGGUAAAAGAGAGCUUGGACUAUGGAGGCUUGCUGGCCACUCGUUUGAGGUCAGCUCCUCUGAAAUGCAUUAGCGGAACCGUUUGCGAUCUGCCACAAGUGUGAUAAAUUAUCUGCACUGGCGAGGGGAUUGCUCUCAGUAAUGUUCAGCUUCUAAUUGUCUCUGUGAGACUACUUUUGAAC